ACUAAUACAUGUCUUAAUCUUAAAAUAACUCGGCAACGUCAAAUAACAGUUGCAUGUAAGGCUCGUCUCGGCGGGGGUGUCUUUUUUUCUGUCUUUUUUUUAGUUAUAUUUUUAAUAACUUACACUUUUUUCCAUUAUUCUCUUUCUUUCACUAUUCUUUAUUCCUUUUAUUCUUUGUCCUUUGUUCUCUAUUCUGUUAAUUCACAUCCAUACCCUCUUAUGUGGACUUACGGUAGUUUAUUUUUUAGUUUUGGCAGAGAUAUUAGAUACAAUAUAUAUGUCUCUGGUUCUGGUAUUAUGCGAUAAGUCAAUUUCUUUUUCAUGCAGUGUCAUGAAAUAUAAUGGUUUUAUGCAUAUCAGCCAAGAUUGUGCGUCACAUUUUGAUAAACAAUUCAACACUAUAUACACGUUAUGUGAAUUUUAUUAAAAUCGAUGAAGAACAUGAAUUUGGCAGCUAGUGCCCCUUAAACAGGUAAAGUUCAAUUAAUAAAUUCUGAUCUACUGGCAUUCAACACCAAAUUACUUACUUGCUGUAUAUUGAUAAAUUUGAUUGUAUAUUGUCAAUACCUCAACAUCGAGAAUACGUCAUGUGAGGUGUUGGUCGCUAUGUUUGAUACGGGGUCACCGGUUGCGGCUUCGAGACAGAGAAAAAAAUCUAGGGCAAGAACAUUAAAGAUAAAGGGGAAACUAUAAACAGAAGAAAUUAUCAACAAAAUAAGAUUUACAGAGGUCAACAAAGCCUAAAUGGUCAGACAUCUUGAUUUUCAUGGUCAUCAUUCACAGAUCAAUACUGAACAGAAAACUUAAAGCUGAUAUUUUUCUCCAUAGUGC
Long non-coding RNA from Mytilus trossulus (common blue mussel), 831 nucleotides. RefSeq lists it as uncharacterized. The transcript has 3 exons. The record is from RefSeq and is a predicted model, not a curated record. NCBI's taxonomy places the organism in Eukaryota, Metazoa, Mollusca, Bivalvia, Mytilida, Mytilidae.